Molecule: ribosomal RNA, 41 nt
Filed under: Penicillium roseopurpureum
Lineage: Eukaryota; Fungi; Ascomycota; Eurotiomycetes; Eurotiales; Aspergillaceae
Description: partial small subunit ribosomal RNA
Source: RNAcentral
AGUGUACAAGUUCCGUAGGUGACCUUGCGGAAGGAUCAUUA